GGAGUUAGCCGGUGCUUCUUCUGUGAGUGAUGUCCUUCCUGCCGGUUAUUGACCCGCAGGCCUUCUUCCUCACUGAAAGUGCUUUACAACCCGAAGGCCUUCUUCACACACGCGGCAUGGCUGGAUCAGGGUUGCCCCCAUUGUCCAAUAUUCCCCACUGCUGCCUCCCGUAGGAGUCUGGGCCGUGUCUCAGUCCCAGUGUGGCUGAUCAUCCUCUCAGACCAGCUACGGAUCGUCGCCUUGGUGAGCCGUUACCUCACCAACCAGCUAAUCCGACAUAGGCUCAUCCGAUAGCGCGAGGCCCGAAGGUCCCCCGCUUUCCCCCGUAGGGCGUAUGCGGUAUUAGCCUGGGUUUCCCCAGGGUUACUCCCCCACUACCGGGCAGAUUCCUAUGCAUUACUCACCCGUCCGCCGCUCGCCACCAGGGAGCAAGCUCCCCGUGCUGCCGCUCGACUUGCAUGUGUUAGGCCUGCCGCCAGCGUUCAAUCUGAACCAGAUCAAAUUCUGA
Molecule: ribosomal RNA, 508 nt
Filed under: uncultured bacterium
Lineage: Bacteria
Description: partial 16S ribosomal RNA
Source: RNAcentral